Molecule: small RNA, 324 nt
Filed under: Cyphellophora europaea CBS 101466
Lineage: Eukaryota; Fungi; Ascomycota; Eurotiomycetes; Chaetothyriales; Cyphellophoraceae
Description: A. fumigatus sRNA Afu_309
Rfam family: A. fumigatus sRNA Afu_309
Source: Rfam by way of RNAcentral
CCCAUAUCAACGACUUGUGGCCACGAUCCCAGGCCUUGCAUACCUCGGUAUACGAGUGUCUCUGGUUGAACGUGGUCAUUUCGACAUCAAGGAGCCAUUAUAAGCAUUCCCAUAGUGUCAAUUUCCGGUCGACAGGUCGAAGAGCAAGUCCAAGUAGCCUGUCGCUCUCGCAAGAGGCCUGCCAGCAGAGCUCGCCUUUUCUUUACGAUUAGGUUUGCAGCACUCUGGCUGAAGGUGAAAGGACACACCCGCUAUUCCCAAUCGUGUGGCUGAUCCCGUUGGGACAUGGGCCAUGGGAAAAACCAGCGGCAUUUGUGUACAUCC